Molecule: ribosomal RNA, 1234 nt
Filed under: Dimorphospora foliicola
Lineage: Eukaryota; Fungi; Ascomycota; Leotiomycetes; Helotiales; Helotiaceae
Description: LSU rRNA
Rfam family: Eukaryotic large subunit ribosomal RNA
Source: RNAcentral
AUUGCCUCAGUAACGGCGAGUGAAGCGGCAACAGCUCAAAUUUGAAAUCUGGCUCCUUCGGGGUCCGAGUUGUAAUUUGUAGAAGAUGCUUUGGGUGUGGCCCUGGUCUAAGUUCCUUGGAACAGGACGUCAUAGAGGGUGAGAAUCCCGUAUGUGACUGGGUGCCCACGCCCGUGUAAAGCUCUUUCGACGAGUCGAGUUGUUUGGGAAUGCAGCUCAAAAUGGGUGGUAAAUUUCAUCUAAAGCUAAAUAUUGGCCAGAGACCGAUAGCGCACAAGUAGAGUGAUCGAAAGAUGAAAAGCACUUUGGAAAGAGAGUUAAACAGUACGUGAAAUUGUUGAAAGGGAAGCGCUUGCAAUCAGACUUGCGCGCCGCUGAUCAUCCCGGGUUCUCCCAGGUGCACUCGGCGGCGCUCAGGCCAGCAUCGGUUCGGGUGGUGGGACAAAGGCCUUGGGAAUGUAGCUCCUCUCGGGGAGUGUUAUAGCCCUCGGUGCCAUGCCACCUACCUGGACCGAGGACCGCGCUUCGGCUAGGAUGCUGGCGUAAUGGUUGUAAGCGACCCGUCUUGAAACACGGACCAAGGAGUCUAACAUCUAUGCGAGUGUUUGGGUGCUAAACCCAUACGCGUAAUGAAAGUGAACGUUGGUAAGAACCCUUUAGGGUGCAUUAUCGACCGAUCCUGAUGUCUUCGGACGGAUUUGAGUAUGAGCAUAGCUGUUGGGACCCGAAAGAUGGUGAACUAUGCCUGAAUAGGGUGAAGCCAGAGGAAACUCUGGUGGAGGCUCGCAGCGGUUCUGACGUGCAAAUCGAUCGUCAAAUUUGGGUAUAGGGGCGAAAGACUAAUCGAACCAUUGGGUGGCUACUAGGUGGUUGAGAGGCGCGCUAAGCCGCGCCUAGUCCUGAUCACAGGGCAACGCUAUCAAAAUGUCGGGGACGUCCUGCUAGGCGACACUACCGCAGCCGUGCCGAAAGGUACGGCGCGCACCGGGCUAACGACCCUGGGGAUGGUAACAACGUGUCGAUAGGGAUAAUCCGCAGCCAAAUCCUACGGGCGACCGCCUACGGAUGCAGUUCACAGACUAGAUGUUAGUGGGCCCCAGACCAGCGCGUCGGGGUUUAAGUUAUAGUCGGACCCCCCGGAGACGGGGGUGGGGAGGAGGAGCGCGCGCCGGGUUGAUCCCAGGCCCUCGGGCCUGGCGGCGUGCGGGAGAGCCCCCCCAGGGACCACGGUCCC